CUCUGCAGCAGCAGUUCCAUUUUCAUUUCGCUUGUCGCAGAUUUUCCGGAUUUGGCAGAGCUUCCAGCAGAUUUGGUUAAGCAUCCGGCUGGCAACAUAACAAUAGCCAUUCCAGUUGACAACUAUCAUACAGGCAUUCGAUCGAAUCCAGGCAAAUAUUUAUGUAGCUGGUGAUUUGAAAACACUACUUCGCGUAGGACUGCUCUUCGACACUACUAGCUGGAAUAUGGUAGAAGAUGAUUUUGUCAGAGGAGCUUUGAGGCUGAUGAAAAAGCUGUCAAAUAAAGGCAUCAAGCGAACCAUAAUUAUGGAAAAUGCUAGCAUGGAGGAAAUUACCGCUGCACCGUUGAUUAGAUGGACUAAAUACACGCAAACAGACAUUGGAUUUGAUGAGAAGCUUGCGGUGAAACAAUCAUCCGCAACAGUUGUUGGACCACUUAUCAUCUGCGUAGCUGAUCGAUACAAACAAGGCAAUAUGUACGUUGUCUUCAAUCAAAACGUCAUUCCUUGUGGCGAUUCAAGCACACGGGCUAUCGAGAUUUUGUUCAAAUCGUUUGCUGUGCUUGGCUUGAAAGUACCAAUGUUGCUCCGGAAACUCAAUGACAUGAUAUCGGUAAAUGUCUGGGGAACGAAACAUUACAGUAAAUGUAAAUCCGUCACAGAGCUAACUGUGCGAUACAAGGAAUUUUUGAAUAAUUCAACAGUCGAAUGAAAUGUGAAAAAUUUUGUAUAUUGAUUUGGUC
Molecule: long non-coding RNA, 743 nt
Organism: Ochlerotatus camptorhynchus
Lineage: Eukaryota; Metazoa; Arthropoda; Insecta; Diptera; Culicidae
Exons: 3
Source: RefSeq, a predicted model, not a curated record